RNAcentral lists this ribosomal RNA (384 nucleotides) under uncultured organism. RNAcentral's name for it is "partial 16S ribosomal RNA". It matches the Rfam family "Bacterial small subunit ribosomal RNA", at positions 527 to 897 of the family's 1533-position model. The record is from RNAcentral.
GUAGGUGGCAAGCGUUGUCCGGAAUUAUUGGGGCGUAAAAGCGCGCGCAGGCGGUUCUUUAAGUCUGAUGUGAAAGCCCACGGGCUCAACCGUGGAGGGUCAUUGGAAACUGGAGAACUUGAGUACAGAAGAGGAAAGCGGAAUUCCACGUGUAGCGGUGAAAUGCGUAGAGAUGUGGAGGAACACCAGUGGCGAAGGCGGCUUUCUGGUCUGUAACUGACGCUGAGGCGCGAAAGCGUGGGGAGCAAACAGGAUUAGAUACCCUGGUAGUCCACGCCGUAAACGAUGAGUGCUAAGUGUUAGGGGGUUUCCGCCCCUUAGUGCUGUUUUUUUUCAGCUAACGCAUUAAGCACUCCGCCUGGGGAGUACGGCCGCAAAGGCUGA